CUUCUCCGAGAUGCUUUGGUGCUCAUCGGGUAACUCUGUAGACAGGUGCUGNAUGNCUGUCGUCAGCUCGUGUUGUGAAAUGUUGGGUUAAGUCCCGCAACGAGCGCAACCCUUAUCCUUUGUUGCCAGCGGUUCGUGCCGGGAACUCNNAGGAGACUGCCAGUGAUAAACUGGAGGAAGGUGGGGAUGANGUCAAGUCAUCAUGGCCCUUACGAGUAGGGCUACACACGUGCUACAAUGGCGUAUACAAAGAGAAGCGACCUCGCGAGAGCAAGCGGCACCUCAUAAAGUACGUCGUAGUCCGGAUUGGAGUCUGCAACUCGACUCCAUGANC
Molecule: ribosomal RNA, 334 nt
Filed under: uncultured Edwardsiella sp.
Lineage: Bacteria; Pseudomonadati; Pseudomonadota; Gammaproteobacteria; Enterobacterales; Hafniaceae
Description: bacterial SSU rRNA
Rfam family: Bacterial small subunit ribosomal RNA
Source: RNAcentral